Molecule: unclassified non-coding RNA, 249 nt
Filed under: uncultured fungus
Lineage: Eukaryota; Fungi
Description: partial contains 5.8S ribosomal RNA, internal transcribed spacer 2, and large subunit ribosomal RNA
Source: RNAcentral
AACGCACAUUGCGCCCCUUGGUAUUCCGUGGGGCAUGCUUGUUCGAGCGUCAUUUGUACUCUCAAGCUUUGCUUGGUGUUGGGUGUUUGUCCUUUCCAUUGCGUUUGGACUCGCCUCAAAUUCAUUGGCAGCCUAUAUAUUGGUUUGAAGCGCAGCACAUUUUGCGGUUCUGUCGGAUACUAUUAGCGUCCAUAAAGCACAAUUAACACUUUUGACCUCGGAUCAAGUAGGGAUACCCGCUGAACUUAA